Non-coding RNA from Rhodovulum sulfidophilum, 49 nucleotides. The record is from Rfam. NCBI's taxonomy places the organism in Bacteria, Pseudomonadati, Pseudomonadota, Alphaproteobacteria, Rhodobacterales, Paracoccaceae.
GAACCGUCACAACGGCUUCCUGGCGUGGCGGGGAUAGCACAACGGAGCG